AUACCACUUGUUAUUUUUUUUUAUUUUUUUUUAUAAUAUUUUUGGUGGAUUCUUAUCGCUAUGAUUUUUCUUUCGUUUCGACCGCUUUUUUUUUUUCGUAUAAGACCUUCUGUGUAAUUUUUUUCUUAUCCUCCUUCAUCUUUCUAAAUUAAUUUUUUUGAUGAUAACAAAGACGGAGAAGAAAAGGUUAUCUCAAUAUUAUUUUAAAUGUUUCUNAAUAAGCAUUAAAAGAAUCCUUCAAUUAAAGUGAAAGAAACAUUUAAAAUAAUAUUGAGAUAACCUUUUCUUAUCCUCCUUCAUCUUUCUAAAUUAAUUUUUUUGAUGAUAACAAAGACGGAGAAGAAAAGGUUAUCUCAAUAUUAUUUUAAAUGUUUCUUUCACUUUAAUUGAAGGAUUCUUUUAAUGCUUAUUUUGAGGGGAAGUUUAUCUAUUUUUUAUUACCUUUUCAAAUUAUUUGUCAUCAUCAAAAAUGGGGAGAUUGUUAGAUUUUUUCCAAUAAUAAUUUUGAUGAUAACAAACAAAUUUUGGAUUUAAUUUGUUGUUUUAGCAAUUUCAGGCUGUAGUUGAAUUUAAAGUGGCUCAAACCGAAUCGGAAUUGACUAAGUUUUUUACAACAGUGAACUACUAUUUUGAAUUUAACAGAUUUGGACUUAAUUUUUAAUAAAUGGAUCAAAAUCAAUAAUUUUUAAUCGUUGAUGUAUGCUGUUUGCAAGUUUAACGGUGUAAAAGUAUUCAAAUCGGAUAAAAAUUUGAUAGAAAAUUCUUUAUACUAUCUACAACAAGGUCAAUAUCUCUGAUAAAAAAUUUUAGUGUUAUAUCAUCACUUUUUAUGAGAUUUUUAUUUUCAACUGUUAAUUUUGAACCCUUUCGAUCGCUAGGUAAAUGAUAUCGAAAAAUCGCAAAAUUUAUUUUCUAAAUACUUCAAAUAUGCUAGAUCAAGUCUAACGGAGUCGAUCGUCGAUUCGAAAGCUCUAUCAUCGAAAACGGUUUGGGAGUACUGAGGCCUCGUGCUCCUAAUAGCACACAAGACCUACUCAUAAAUUAUAUAUACAUAUGUUGUGGUUUUUAAUGGAGAUGGAGAGAGGAUGGAAUUGUCGCGAAUACGCGACCAAAUUAGGUGAAACAAAAUCGUGAUUUGCAUGGUUUGGCAGUGUCGGAAGCGCUGGCGCAGUCUAUUUGCAAAUCUGACAGACAGAUCUCAUGUAAUCGCGCGAUUACCGAGAAAGGGUCGAAAUAAAAAAAUCAGAGAUUUUGCGAAACCCUCUAUAUUUU
Molecule: long non-coding RNA, 1272 nt
Filed under: Ananas comosus (pineapple)
Lineage: Eukaryota; Viridiplantae; Streptophyta; Magnoliopsida; Poales; Bromeliaceae
Description: long non-coding RNA (ACOM_LNC020882)
Source: RNAcentral